GGGGAUGUGGCUCAGUGGUAGAGCACUUGCCUAGCAUGCUUGAGGCACUGAGUUCAAUCCUCAGAACCACA
This 71-nucleotide transfer RNA is filed under the name Ictidomys tridecemlineatus (thirteen-lined ground squirrel). RNAcentral describes it as "Spermophilus tridecemlineatus (thirteen-lined ground squirrel) tRNA". It matches the Rfam family "tRNA". From Rfam's summary of the family: Transfer RNA (tRNA) molecules are approximately 80 nucleotides in length. Their secondary structure includes four short double-helical elements and three loops (D, anti-codon, and T loops). The record is from Rfam by way of RNAcentral. Lineage: Eukaryota; Metazoa; Chordata; Mammalia; Rodentia; Sciuridae.